This 1338-nucleotide ribosomal RNA is filed under the name uncultured bacterium. RNAcentral's name for it is "bacterial SSU rRNA". It matches the Rfam family "Bacterial small subunit ribosomal RNA", at positions 28 to 1387 of the family's 1533-position model. The record is from RNAcentral.
GACGAACGCUGGCGGCGCGCCUAACACAUGCAAGUCGAACGGAGCUUAGAGAGCUUGCUUUUUAAGCUUAGUGGCGAACGGGUGAGUAACGCGUGAGUAACCUGCCCUAGAGUGGGGGACAACAGUUGGAAACGACUGCUAAUACCGCAUAAGCCCACGGUACCGCAUGGCACUGAGGGAAAAGGAUUUAUUCGCUUUAGGAUGGACUCGCGUCCAAUUAGCUAGUUGGUGAGGUAACGGCCCACCAAGGCGACGAUUGGUAGCCGGACUGAGAGGUUGAACGGCCACAUUGGGACUGAGACACGGCCCAGACUCCUACGGGAGGCAGCAGUGGGGGAUAUUGCACAAUGGGGGAAACCCUGAUGCAGCGACGCCGCGUGGAGGAAGAAGGUUUUCGGAUUGUAAACUCCUGUCGUUAGGGACGAUAAUGACGGUACCUAACAAGAAAGCACCGGCUAACUACGUGCCAGCAGCCGCGGUAAAACGUAGGGUGCAAGCGUUGUCCGGAAUUACUGGGUGUAAAGGGAGCGCAGGCGGGAAGACAAGUUGGAAGUGAAAACCAUGGGCUCAACCCAUGAAUUGCUUUCAAAACUGUUUUUCUUGAGUAGUGCAGAGGUAGAUGGAAUUCCCGGUGUAGCGGUGGAAUGCGUAGAUAUCGGGAGGAACACCAGUGGCGAAGGCGGUCUACUGGGCACCAACUGACGCUGAGGCUCGAAAGCAUGGGUAGCAAACAGGAUUAGAUACCCUGGUAGUCCAUGCCGUAAACGAUGAUUACUAGGUGUUGGGGGAUUGACCCCCUCAGUGCCGCAGUUAACACAAUAAGUAAUCCACCUGGGGAGUACGACCGCAAGGUUGAAACUCAAAGGAAUUGACGGGGGCCCGCACAAGCAGUGGAGUAUGUGGUUUAAUUCGAAGCAACGCGAAGAACCUUACCAGGUCUUGACAUCCGAUGCAUAGCACAGAGAUGUGUGAAAUCCUUCGGGACAUCGAGACAGGUGGUGCAUGGUUGUCGUCAGCUCGUGUCGUGAGAUGUUGGGUUAAGUCCCGCAACGAGCGCAACCCUUAUUGCCAGUUACUACGUUGAGGACUCUGGCGAGACUGCCGUUGACAAAACGGAGGAAGGUGGGGAUGACGUCAAAUCAUCAUGCCCUUUAUGACCUGGGCUACACACGUACUACAAUGGCGUUAAACAAAGAGAAGCAAGACCGCGAGGUGGAGCAAAACUCAAAAACAACGUCUCAGUUCAGAUUGCAGGCUGCAACUCGCCUGCAUGAAGUCGGAAUUGCUAGUAAUCGCGGAUCAGCAUGCCGCGGUGAAUACGUUCCCGGGCCUUGCACA